CUUCGUGUUAUGCACGGACCUAACCUAAUACAAGUACAACUAUCUAUGAUUCUUGAUAUUUUCUCAUCAUCAUUUGUUCUUUUCUUCUUAUCUCUCAAAAGUCUCUCAUCUGCAAAUCCUUAAAAACUAAACAUGGUUUAUUGCAACUUGCAACUUGAAAGAAUGUCCUAGUGCCAAUAAUCAUGUAGAUCUAUGUAUAGGUGGUUUGAAUUGAAUUCUAAUCUUCAAUUGCAUGUUUGAAAUUUGUUUUUAACAUUCCUGUGAAUUCUAUCUAUCUUAAUCAUCAUACGAUUUGCCAGGGAUUUGCGUUAGAGCUAUCUUGUUGAUCAUCAUCUGGUUUUCCUGUUACUGGUACUUUUUUUUAUAAUCCAAUUAUUAAUAAUUGUUUUGUUCUAUUAUGCUUUAUAUAAUAAUAAUAAUAUCCCUGCAACAAAUUAUUUCUGAGGAUUCAAUUUUAAGGGUGGUUUUGGUUCUCUUGCUAUGUCUAUCUAAAGUUUCCUUGAUAGAACCAAGGAUGGUUUUUUUUGAAAGGUAAACAAUCAAUAUAUUAAUAAGAAAAAAGAUACAAAUUACACACCUUACUUUCAUUAUAAUUCAUCAAUAUAUUGGGAUUGAGAUUGGGAGGUUAGACACAAGGUCUUAGGUGAAUAACAGAGUAUAUUUCAGCUCGAUUUUGGUGUUCAUCAAGUUAAAUUUAUAUGGAAAUUGUAUUUAGCGUCCACUAUUGUAUAGCUUGCCUUGAUUCUCACCAUUCGGUCAUGGUCAUUGGCUUAUUGUGUUUAGAAUGAGCUAGCCGCCUAUUUCAGAGUUCUGAUUUCUCUCAUAACUUUUGUUCAUUUGAGAAUCCUCAAGGUCUUAAUUUGUACAUUUGAGAUGAAUCUAUAUAUGUGCAUUCAUAGUCCCCGAUAUUUCAAUUGAGAAGUUCGCUUGGUCAAAAUCAGCAGUUCCUACUACAGUAUUUUUUCCAUCUACUGACCAAACAUCCUUCUUGUCUUAUUGAAAUUUUGGUAUCUUGUCCUUGAUGCCAGAGUGAUUGAACAGGUCUAAGUUACCCUCACUCUCCUGCAUUUCCUUCCAUUUUACCCAGUACUUUGCAAAUGUGUGGCUCACCUCCUUACACAUUAUUUAGUUGUGAUGUAGGCAUCGUCAAGGCAAUUUCUGUCUAACUAUAAUGAUGUACUCAUUAUCAAGGCAAUCCCUUGCCGACUCCUCUCCAUUUGUAUUUCGAAGUCAGCAUGAUAAAACAUGAGCAAAUAGCAAAAUAUAUUUGUUGUAUUUUUAACUGGAAAGAAGUUUGAAGCUUGUACUUCUCCCCUACCUUUUAUUUUUGUCACAGAGAGGGUCCACAUCUCCGAAUUUAGCCCUUUUAUCUCGUCCUGAACACCGUGGUUUGUAAAGUUGUUGAAAUGUUUCAUCAUCAGUUUAGUUGUUGUCUCUUAGUAUGACUUGUUGUUGCCAAUGUGCUAUUACCCUGUCCGUGCCAAAGUGAUUACCAUGCAGAUUUAUUAUGCUUAACUAGAAACCCACACAUUAGAAUCUUAGCAGUCAGAACUCAGAAGCACAAAGGAGGUAAAAAGACAAAUUCUAGUGUAUGAGCCUGUGGCUCAGCAGAUGCAUCCGUCUCACAAAGGGGAGAGGUUUGGGUUCGAAACACACAACACCUGAUUGUUUGAUAAAAAGUUUCCUAACGUAAUUUAAAAGGGUCGGGUCCCCUCACACUCGCUUGCCAAUUAAAAUAAAAAAGAGAAAUUUUAUUAAAAUGGAAAGCUAAAUAAAAACCUAUUGUUUGGAAUUAAGAGUAAGGAUACAAUAAAAGUAAUCAAAACCAUCAUAGCCUGAAAAGGCGCCAGGAUAAAAAUGAGUCCUAUUACUAUAUAUUUGAUCCGAUAAAACGCGAAUCUUUGAAUUUGGGGUCAAGAGGAUCUGAUAAAACGCUGCUGUUCUCCUGAAAAGAAAAGAUAAAUGCCAACGUCAGCCACAUGUUUAAGCAAUUAAACAAUACCAGUAAGAGUUGCUAGGGUAAGUCGAGAUAGACUAAUGCGACAAUAUUAAAAGAAAAGAAAUGUGAUAGCCAAGUUAUUAAAAUAUAUAGCUCAGUAAUGUAAUGAGUGUCAUAAUUAUAUAUACUGACACAACAAUAAGUAAAAUCUAAUCUAUAGAAGCCAUUACCAUAAAAUUAAUUCCAUGAUAAUGUGAGAUCAGAGUUGGAGAAAGACACAUAGAAUACGAAAAACAGAAGUUAUCUAA
This 2247-nucleotide long non-coding RNA is filed under the name Aquilegia coerulea. RNAcentral's name for it is "long non-coding RNA (ACOE_LNC002373)". Lineage: Eukaryota; Viridiplantae; Streptophyta; Magnoliopsida; Ranunculales; Ranunculaceae. The record is from RNAcentral.